This is a long non-coding RNA of Myotis brandtii (Brandt's bat), 475 nucleotides long. RefSeq lists it as uncharacterized. The transcript is spliced from 2 exons. Lineage: Eukaryota; Metazoa; Chordata; Mammalia; Chiroptera; Vespertilionidae. The record is from RefSeq and is a predicted model, not a curated record.
GCAUUCGUAUUUUUAAUCCACACGUCGUCAUGAAGAAGAGGCCAUGUCACGUCCAACGCCCUGCCUCCACUUACCUGCUUGUCUGUGUGUCUUUCCCCUCCCCCAUUCGCUAAUUCUUUCUCUGCCUCCUUUUGUCUCAGGAAGAAAAAAUGUUGAGCAUCCUGGUGCAGCACCGAGUCCGGAGCGGCGUCUCGGGCAACGUGGGCAUGGAGGUGGACGGGCUGCCCUUCCACGGCACCCACGCCCAGAUGAUCCAGAAGCUGCUGGACGUCACCAUGGGGCGCCAGUGACCACACCCAGCACACCGGUGGCGAGUGCCGGAGGCAUUGCUUUCAACCCUCCUUCACCUUAGCCUCUCAGGCCGCCCACGUGGGGUGCUCUGGAGGCCACACGGUAAGCAAUAAAGUACCAGGCAGACCAAGAGCUGUGAGAAGCCCCCAUGCUAACUGUGAAACAGUAAGAUGCACAAAUGUGA